CCUACGGGUGGCUGCAGUGAGGAAUAUUGGUCAAUGGUCGGGAGCCUGAACCAGCCAAGUCGCGUGAGGGAGUAAUGCACUGUGGGUUGUAAACCUCUUUUGUCAGGGAACAAAAACCGGACGUGUCCGGCUGUUGGAGUACCCGGAAGAAAAACAACCGGUUACCUCGGUCCCAGAACCCGCGGUAUUAGGGGGGAUGCGAGCGUUAUCCGGUUUUUUUGGGUUUAAAGGGGGCGCAGGCGGAUUUUUAAGUCAGCGGUAAAAGCGGGGGGCUCAACCCCACCCAGCCGUUGAAACUGGCGAUCUAGAGUGUGCGAGAGGUAUGCGGAAUGCGUGGUGUAGCGGUGAAAUGCAUAGAUAUCACGCAGAACCCCGAUUGCGAAGGCAGCAUACCGGUGCCAAACUGACGCUCAGGCACGAAAGCGUGGGUAUCGAACAGGAUUAGAUACCCUUGUAGUC
Molecule: ribosomal RNA, 459 nt
Filed under: uncultured bacterium
Lineage: Bacteria
Description: partial 16S ribosomal RNA
Rfam family: Bacterial small subunit ribosomal RNA
Source: RNAcentral